Molecule: ribosomal RNA, 402 nt
Filed under: bacterium
Lineage: Bacteria
Description: partial 16S ribosomal RNA
Rfam family: Bacterial small subunit ribosomal RNA
Source: RNAcentral
UGGGGAAUUUUGCACAAUGGGGGAAACCCUGAUGCAGCGACGCCGCGUGAUUUAGAAGGCCUUCGGGUUGUAAAAAUCUUUUCUAUGGGAAGAAAAUGACAGUACCAUAGGAAUAAGGACCGGCUAAUUACGUGCCAGCAGCCGCGGUAAUACGUAAGGUCCGAGCGUUGUCCGGAAUCAUUGGGCGUAAAGGGUACGUAGGCGGGUAAGCAAGUUAGAAGUGAAAUCCUAUAGCUCAACUAUAGUAAGCUUUUAAAACUGCUCAUCUUGAGGUAUGGAAGGGAUAGUGGAAUUCCUAGUGUAGCGGUGAAAUGCGCAGAUAUUAGGAGGAAUACCGGUGGCGAAGGCGACUUUCUGGCCAUAACCUGACGCUGAGGUACGAAAGCGUGGGUAGCAAACAGG